GAGCAUGAAGCCGGAAUCGCUAGUAAUCGUAGAUCAGCCAUGCUACGGUGAAUACGUUCCCGGGUCUUGUACUCACCGCCCGUCACACCAUGGGAGUUGAUUUCACUCGAAGCCGGAAUACUAAACUAGUUACCGUCCACAGUGGAAUCAGCGACUGGGGUGAAGUCGUAACAAGGUAACCGUAGGAGAACCUGCGGUUGGAUCACCUCCUUUCUAG
Molecule: ribosomal RNA, 217 nt
Filed under: Campylobacter jejuni
Lineage: Bacteria; Pseudomonadati; Campylobacterota; Epsilonproteobacteria; Campylobacterales; Campylobacteraceae
Description: partial 16S ribosomal RNA
Rfam family: Bacterial small subunit ribosomal RNA
Source: RNAcentral